This is a long non-coding RNA of Homo sapiens (human), 3241 nucleotides long. Ensembl annotates it as WDFY3 antisense RNA 2. Its record names the gene WDFY3-AS2. Lineage: Eukaryota; Metazoa; Chordata; Mammalia; Primates; Hominidae. The record is from Ensembl.
UGCCUUCCAGACGCGCCUCUUCCCCGCCCCGCGCCCCUCUCUCCUCUCCCACCCCUGCCCCUCUCCGCGGCGCUCACCCUCCUCAGUCCCAGUUUCUGAAAGGACUCAGCUGAGAAAGGACAACUGGGUUCCGCUUUCCUUAACCCUACACCCUUUAGCUGGAUGCUGUCAGAGGCGAUGGAGAAACGCAAAGGCUACUAGACGCAACAAUAGAAUUACCAUAUUGUUUUUCCUGGUUUGAAAGGACCAGAUGGAAAGAAACUGGGCAAGCCAAUGAAAGUCUCUGGGGAUCAUGGGAAUUGAGUGUCUAUGAAAACCAUAUUCCAGACAAGAAUAUAGUCUAAGGUUUAUGGGACUCCCCAGUACUCUCCAUGUAGAGUCUAAUGUAGAAUCCAGGAGUGCACAGAAAAGUCACUGGAUGACACAGCAAGAGGCAACAUUUUGGAAGCAGAGGGCAACUCUCACUGGAAACCAAAUCUCCUGGCACCUUGAUCUUGGAUUUUACAGCCUCCAGAACUGAUAGCUGGGAGGCAUUACAUAGUCAUGUGCGAGGUCAAAACUGAGUCACCACCACAACCAAGUUCCAGCUGGCAAGAAGAGGAAAAAUAACACAGAGGAGUUAUGACCAGUGUUGUAAGGAUCUGGCCUAGAAAUGGCAUGCAUCUCUUCCACUAAUAUCCUAUUGGUAAAAAUGUAGUCACAUGGGCACACCACCUAUCUGCAUGGAAGGCUGGGAAAUGUUGAUCGGUAGGGCAGCCAUAUGUGUAGGAAGGAGAAAACAGAAUUUGGUGGAUACCUAGUAGUCUCUGCCAUACCCUUGACCAGAAAUUUUUCUUCUAAAGAAUUUAAUUCUAAAAGUUAUAGACAUUCCCAAAGAUAUACCUGCAAGCAUCACAGCUUUGUGUAUAAUUGCAAAAGUUGAAAUCAACAUGAAUGCCCAAAAUAGUGAAUUAUUUAAACAGAUUAUUACCCAUAUUAUGAAGAAAUACUCUGCAACUCUUAAAAAUAAAUGUAAUGUGCCAGGCGCAAUGGGAUAUGCCUGCAGGCCCAGCUACACGGGAGGCCAAGGCAGGAGGAUCACUUGAAAUCAAGAGUUCAAGUCUAGCCUAGACAACAUAGUGAGACUUGGUCUCUAAAAAAGAAAAAAAAAAAUAAAACUGAUGUAAUGAAUAUAUAAUUACAACAAAAGAGGUCUAACACUAUAGUAGAAAAGUUUGGGGCACUCAUCCCAUUCAUAAUUAUUUUACAUUUAAAUUACUGUUCCUACUUAAGUGGUGAGCUUGGUAACCAUUUUCAUAUCAGGUGAUACUGCUGCAGUAAUCAUAGCUGUUUGAAUCAGGAAUAAUCCCAAUCACAUUUUCUCUUAAUCGUUUAUUAUACUGGGCAUUGGGGUUGCAAGAUAAUGCACAGUCCGAGCUCAAUACAUGUCUUCAUGUACCUGUAUGUAAAUCCCACUUUUAUUCUAAAAUUCUUUGAAUAUUUUGUUUCUUGGAACCCAAUGAUCCUAAGAAAAUUAUGUACUUUUACCUGAAAAUUAAAACCAAUAUUUAUAAAAAGUGUAUAUGCAGUAUGAUACCACUUUUAAAAAAAGAUAAAUUUAUAGAAAAAAGUUUAUAUGACUGACAACAAUGUCUCUGAGUGGUAGGAUUACAGUUAAUUUUUAUUUUCUUCAUUCUACUUAUCUUUAUUUUCUGAACUUUCUACAAUGAACAUGUUUUAUUUUUACUUUUGUUAAAAUAAAUAACAUUUAAUUUGACGGAAAAUUCUAAAAAUCAACAUUUGGUAACUUAAAUAUUCAUUGGCACAUGAUUCUGUGCCUGUUUCUGGGGGUCAUUCCCAUGAGAAGAGCAGGUAGAACUUAUGAGAAUAGAGCAGUCGAAAUAUUAUAGGUUUCAUAUUUUACGGCUUUAUUGAAAACAUUGAUAUAUUGAAUAUUCAUAAAUUUUAAUUUAACUUUCUUUUAUAAUCCUUAAUGUGAGGCUAAGGUAUAAGGAGAAAGGAGAUUGGUAAGGAAGUGUGAUACAUAUUGAAUCAGGUGUCAAGGUACCAUUUGUGCCUGGAUCUGACCAAUAGACCAAGGUAAAAAUCUCAAAGAAUGAGACUUGUAAUGAGAAUGCCACAAACUUGAAUACCUUAUGCACAAAACACAAACAUUGUUAUGCAUAAUGUACAUGAACCCUGAAACAAAGAUAAUGAUUUGGACCACCCAACUGAAGUGGCAUGUUAUGUUUUUGGCAUGAACAAAAGAAACAAGAGAGAAAAAAAUCAAAAUAAUUAAAAUAAAUUGUUAGAGAAAAGUUACUUUAAAAAUAGCUAUAACGCUUUGCAAUUUCAGUAACAGUUCUGCCUCUGAUGCAAUGUAAAACAUGUAUUAGACAUUCAGGCUCCACAAUAAAUUUUAAUGAGCACUACAAAUUUAGAAUAUAUAAAAAUAUCAGUAACCUAUGAAUUCAUCAACAUAACUCACUUUUCAGUUAAGUUAGGCUGAGUUGAAAUUCUACUAAGUUUUCCCAUAUUCUUGAUAAAGGCUAAAUUUGAAAUAAUUUAUUUAGAUGACUAAUUGGCAAUUUGAUAGUAGUUACAUUUUAUGUAACACUUGAUAUAAUAACCCAAAUUAAUUAGCUCAAUAUUAUCUUCUGUGGUUUAUUGAUCCAAAAGUACAUAUUUGUUAUGUAAACUUAUACUAUGUAAACUUGAAUUAGUUUUUUGCUUCCUUGAAUUAAUAAAGCCCAUUAAUGCAAAUCUAAGCCUUCAUAGACUUUUCCAAUCCUUAGUUAAAUAUUAAAAACUGAGUAUUGUAGUUAUUUGCUAGGUAUAAAAGGUGACUCAGAGUAGAGAGUAAGAUGUCAGCAAAUAGACAAUAAGAUGUCAGCAAAAGUGCCUCAAAUUUUAACUGCGUCAAGUUAAGGGCAUUGUAAAUACUGUAGUUUUAUGUAGCUUGCAACUUCUACUGAAAUGAGUUUAAUCAUGUCUUUCACAUAGCUGAAGUUUGUGUCAAGAUUUAAGCUGAUUUUCUCAUUCUUAUCAAAGUCUCACCUGGGGGUAGGGAGGGGUAGGCCUACCUCCCACCUCUAUACUAUCAUUUUAGGAACAGACAGGCAUAAAUCUGUUCAUAUGGUAGAACACAUGAUGUUAGAGUAUAUUUUGUUGAAUGCUAUGGAAUAUUAAUAUAAUUAAUUCUAAAAUAUCACCUAAAAUAUGUCAACUGAAGAUCUGACUGUACUAAAUAUGAAAAAUAAAG